GAUGAAGAACGCAGUGAAAUGCGAUAAGUAAUGUGAAUUGCAGAAUUCCGUGAAUCAUCGAAUCUUUAAACGCACAUUGCGCCCCCUGGCAUUCCGGGGGGCAUGCCUGUCCGAGCGUCAUUUCUGCCCUCCAGCCCGGCUGGGUGUUGGGCGCUGUCCCCCCGGGGACACGCCCCAAAGGCAGUGGCGGCGCCGCGUCGGGUCCUCGAGCGUAUGGGGCUUUGUCACCCGCUCGGGACGGACUCGUCGGCGCUGGUCUUCCUCCAGGCGACCCUUCGGGGCUCGUCUUCCUUCGGUUGACCUCGGAUCAGGUAGGGUUACCCGCUGAACUUAAGCAUAUCAAUAAGCGGAGGA
RNAcentral lists this unclassified non-coding RNA (354 nucleotides) under soil metagenome. RNAcentral's name for it is "partial contains 5.8S ribosomal RNA, internal transcribed spacer 2, and large subunit ribosomal RNA". The stretch from base 1 to 120 matches the Rfam family "5.8S ribosomal RNA", at positions 35 to 154 of the family's 154-position model. The record is from RNAcentral.